GUGCCAGCAGCCGCGGUAAUACGUAGGUGGCAAGCGUUGUCCGGGAAUUAUUGGGCGUAAAGCGCGCGCAGGCGGCCUUUUAAGUCUGAUGUGAAAGCCCCCGGCUCAACCGGGGAGGGCCAUUGGAAACUGGAAGGCUUGAGUACAGAAGAGAAGAGUGGAAUUCCACGUGUAGCGGUGAAAUGCGUAGAGAUGUGGAGGAACACCAGUGGCGAAGGCGACUCUUUGGUCUGUAACUGACGCUGAGGCGCGAAAGCGUGGGGAGCAAACAGGAUUAGAUACCCUGGUAGUCC
This 293-nucleotide ribosomal RNA is filed under the name uncultured microorganism. Its description in RNAcentral is "partial 16S ribosomal RNA". It matches the Rfam family "Bacterial small subunit ribosomal RNA", at positions 505 to 796 of the family's 1533-position model. The record is from RNAcentral.